GGCUGAAGGUUUCCAUCUCCAGCAGUGUCUGCUGAGCAAUUGAAAACUCCAACCAAGGAAUUCUGAGGGGAGAAGACUACUGAAAGAUGCCUGCGGGUCAUCCUGCAAAUCCUCUUACCUCGGGAAGGGAGCAGGAAUCCGAGUGAUCUCAAAAAUUGUUUGGGGAGGUAAAGAAUCACAGAAUCACAAAUGGUUAGUGUUGGAAGGGACCUCUGG
Molecule: long non-coding RNA, 216 nt
Organism: Corapipo altera (White-ruffed manakin)
Lineage: Eukaryota; Metazoa; Chordata; Aves; Passeriformes; Pipridae
Exons: 3
Source: RefSeq, a predicted model, not a curated record